GACGAACGCUGGCGGCGUGCCUAAUACAUGCAAGUAGAACGCUGAAGGAGGAGCUUGCUUCUCUGGAUGAGUUGCGAACGGGUGAGUAACGCGUAGGUAACCUGCCUGGUAGCGGGGGAUAACUAUUGGAAACGAUAGCUAAUACCGCAUAAUAGUAGAUGUUGCAUGACAUUUGCUUAAAAGGUGCAAUUGCAUCACUACCAGAUGGACCUGCGUUGUAUUAGCUAGUUGGUGGGGUAACGGCUCACCAAGGCGACGAUACAUAGCCGACCUGAGAGGGGGAUCGGCCACACUGGGACUGAGACACGGCCCAGACUCCUACGGGAGGCAGCAGUAGGGAAUCUUCGGCAAUAGACGGAAGUCUGACCGAGCAACGCCGCGUGAGUGAAGAAGGUUUUCGGAUCGUAAAGCUCUGUUGUAAGAGAAGAACGAGUGUGAGAGUGGAAAGUUCACACUGUGACGGUAUCUUACCAGAAAGGGACGGCUAACUACGUG
Molecule: ribosomal RNA, 495 nt
Filed under: uncultured bacterium
Lineage: Bacteria
Description: partial 16S ribosomal RNA
Rfam family: Bacterial small subunit ribosomal RNA
Source: RNAcentral